This 45-nucleotide non-coding RNA is filed under the name Schistosoma haematobium. Lineage: Eukaryota; Metazoa; Platyhelminthes; Trematoda; Strigeidida; Schistosomatidae. The record is from RNAcentral.
AUCCAGCUGAUGAGUCCCAAGUAGGAUGAAUCGCGCGUCCUGGAU